Electrophorus electricus (electric eel) is the source of this 373-nucleotide long non-coding RNA. Lineage: Eukaryota; Metazoa; Chordata; Actinopteri; Gymnotiformes; Gymnotidae. The record is from Ensembl.
CAACAACUAAAUUGCCUGUAAAUGUGGAGGUAAUGAGAAGAGAUGGUUCAGGAGUCAAGGACUGCCAGAUGGUAAAGCUAGGUGCAGAUUGUUUCCAGAAUCAGACUGUGAGAACAUCUACUGAGAUAACAAAGAUGACAGGUCAUACCCAGCCAAGAGGCCCAGGGAGCAGCGGGCAUGGUAGUGUGCAGACAUCUGAGGACGGCAAGAUGGUGGGAGCCCCCAAAAAGCCACAGUCUGACAGACACAACUGAGAGACUUGGCUGACUGGCUGCAUGGUACAGAUGAAUCCUGAGCAGUUUAAGACCCUCUUUCUCUCAAUAACAAAGCACAUAAGCACAUGCCCACACACAUAUACACGUACAUACAAACA